CGUGUAGGCGGGUCUUUAAGUCAGGGGUGAAAUGCCAAGGCUCAACCUUGGAACUGCCUUUGAUACUGGAGAUCUUGAGUCCGGGAGAGGUGAGUGGAAUUGCAAGUGUAGAGGUGAAAUUCGUAGAUAUUCGCAAGAACACCAGUGGCGAAGGCGGCUCACUGGCCCGGAACUGACGCUGAGACGCGAAAGCGUGGGGAGCAAACA
RNAcentral lists this ribosomal RNA (207 nucleotides) under uncultured bacterium. RNAcentral describes it as "partial 16S ribosomal RNA". It matches the Rfam family "Bacterial small subunit ribosomal RNA", at positions 568 to 774 of the family's 1533-position model. The record is from RNAcentral.